CCUUACCAUCCCUUGACAUCCAGAGAAUUUUCUAGAGAUAGAUUAGUGCCUUCGGGAGCUCUGAGACAGGUGCUGCAUGGCUGUCGUCAGCUCGUGUUGUGAAAUGUUGGGUUAAGUCCCGCAACGAGCGCAACCCUUAUCCUUAUUUGCCAGCGAGUAAUGUCGGGAACUUUAAGGAGACUGCCGGUGAUAAACCGGAGGAAGGUGGGGACGACGUCAAGUCAUCAUGGCCCUUACGGGAUGGGCUACACACGUGCUACAAUGGCAGAUACAGAGGGCAGCAAUACCGCGAGGUGGAGCGAAUCCCAGAAAGUCUGUCGUAGUCCGGAUUGGAGUCUGCAACUCGACUCCAUGAAGUCGGAAUCGCUAGUAAUCGUGGAUCAGAAUGCCACGGUGAAUACGUUCCC
This 407-nucleotide ribosomal RNA is filed under the name uncultured bacterium. RNAcentral describes it as "bacterial SSU rRNA". It matches the Rfam family "Bacterial small subunit ribosomal RNA", at positions 969 to 1375 of the family's 1533-position model. The record is from RNAcentral.